UUGACCUAGGUAUAUAAACCUAGCCUUACCCGAUACUCACGCACCCUCCCUCAAAUUCGCCGACUCCACCUUGCUUCGCUCGGCGAUCUACGACGGACACUCUACCAAGUUCUGGGUUCCAACCAAUCAACGUCCCCAUGCCGGCAAGCUACGGGGGACAUGGCAACAGGGCACAUGGACCUUCGCAUGCUCCUUGUCGGCGUAAUCUCACAGGCUAGGGAUUCUGACGGCAACGCGAGAUUGGAAAGGAAAGUUCAUCUAUCUAUGAUAAUAUGAAAUAUGUGAGGUAUAGGGGUGGGAAACUUAAGAGAUGUUGAUGCAUUUAUUCCGAUUGUUGUAAUGUGGCGCGAUUUGGGUUUUUGUUUUCUGUGAGGUUCUUGAUCCAGCAUGAGGUUCCCGUGAUGUUUUGAUUUGACUUCAGGUUUCCGUGGCGUCCGGGUUUGGCUUGAAGUUUCCUUGAUGUUAUUGCUUCUUCCUAUACACCCUGUUUGGAAUCCUAUGGAAUUGAAUUCCUAUGGUAAUUGGAAUUCAAUUCCAUAGUUUGGAAUGAAUUUUUGAGAUGGAUUUGAUAUGGAAUUCAAUUCUAAUUUCAUUCAAAACGUGAAUAGUAAAUCAGACCUCAAAUGGUCAGAUUUGGAUAGGGAUUUAUCAUGAACAACUAAAAUUACUUAAUUUUCCUUUUAACUUAAAACCUUUUUUUUCAUCUGCCGACUCUCUUGUUUUCUCCUACCUUUCUCCCGUGCGUUGUUUCUCCUUGUGUCGAAAACUUCUCCAUGCACCAUUUCUCCCGUGCGCCACCUUCUUCAUACUGCUGUCUUAACUGUGCAAUCCCUUCUUCCUAUUCUCUAAUACUUAACUUGAUUAUUAAAUGAUUAAUUAUGAGGAUAAAAUGGUAAAUAUAUAAGAAUGGAAUUCAAUUCAAAUAGAUUCCAAAUUAAGGAAUUCAAUUCAAUUCUAUUAUUCACUAAUCCAUUCCAAACAUAGGAAUUGAAUUCAAUUCCUGCCGGAAUUCAAUUCCUAAUGGAAUUCAAUUCAAUUCCUUCACUUAAGUUGUUUUCAAACAGGGUGAUAAGGUUUACAGUGUUGAUUCAUUCUAUGAGUUCUCCACUGCGAUUGGAAAGGUCUGGAUCGGGUUCUUCUAUGAUGGAUUGAGCUUUGGUAGUUUGAACUUCAGGAUUCCUGCUGUAUUGGGUGUUUAGUUGACUCCAAGGAGAUUUGUUCUUCUCUAUAAUCUACUUUUGCUUCGUUUGGAAGGAGUUGGAAUUGUCUUAUUGGUUUUGAGAAGAUUUUCGGUUUUGAUCUAUGUUGCUCUGAUUUUCAGUUUGGUUGUGGAUUUUCGGUUUGGGUAUGGUUGGAGUGUGAAUCCGGAUGAGUUCUUCCUCUUGUUUCAAGUAUUGUUGUUGAUCCUUUUUCUUUGGCUUUGAUUUUGGUUGGACAAAUUGUUGUGGGACUUUGUUUCUUUAUGCUGUUGGUUAGAGAUAUAUAGUUGAUUUGAUUAGAAUAUGUUUCUUCAUGUGGGAUUUGGAAUCAUGGUCGGAAUUGGGAAUUUUUGUGUAGAAGUUGAAUUGCCGCACUGAUUUGCUUUCCUUCUAUUGCCGGGAUUUUUGAUAAGGAAGCGAGAUUUGGAUUCUAAAACAAAACUAUAUGCUAGUUGGUUAGAUUGAUAGAGAAUUCUUGUCUAAUUUCCAGUCACAUUUUCUUGGAUAAUUACAAUGAUGGUGUAUGUGAUUACCUCACGUUAGUAUAGGAUGGCCUACUUCUUUGUUGAAUUGUUUCUGUAAAAAUUGUUACAGUGUGACAUGAUCAUUUUCGUUUGUCCUUCGCUCCGCUUCACUUUAGAUUUAUGUUAUUGGAUAAUAAUUGAAUGGUAUUGGUGUGGGCUUGGGACAUGUUCUUUCUUUGGACAGAUUGCUAGGAUAUGGAAUGGACAAGUGGUGCUCUCGUUUCCUUGUGUUGACUUCGAAUUUCCUUCCCUUCUGAACAGAAUUAGUGAGGACGUCUCCCAGGGUAUGACGGAAGGCAUGCAGACGGAGAAGACGAGGAGGCGAGAUGGAUGCAUGACAUUGUUCGGAUAUCUUAGGAGUGCUGUGAAGGCUUGAUUCUUAUGUGCCCUUCUUAUUGUAUGAGGAGUUGUAUUAGUGCUUUCUUGUUACUUUUGUUAAUCACUAGAUUGAGAUGUAUUGGUUCUAUUAGGUAUGGUGGUUUUGUAUGAUGGGUUUGUAACUCUGAUAUUUUUACUCUAAA
Zingiber officinale is the source of this 2244-nucleotide long non-coding RNA. RefSeq lists it as uncharacterized. The transcript has 2 exons. The record is from RefSeq and is a predicted model, not a curated record. NCBI's taxonomy places the organism in Eukaryota, Viridiplantae, Streptophyta, Magnoliopsida, Zingiberales, Zingiberaceae.